This 253-nucleotide ribosomal RNA is filed under the name uncultured bacterium. Its description in RNAcentral is "partial 16S ribosomal RNA". It matches the Rfam family "Bacterial small subunit ribosomal RNA", at positions 524 to 776 of the family's 1533-position model. The record is from RNAcentral.
UACGAAGGGGGCUAGCGUUGUUCGGAAUUGCUGGGCGUAAAGCGCGCGUAGGCGGUCAUUUAAGUCAGGGGUGAAAUCCCAGAGCUCAACUCUGGAACUGCCUUUGAUACUGGGUGUCUUGAGUAUGGAAGAGGUGAGUGGAAUUCCGAGUGUAGAGGUGAAAUUCGUAGAUAUUCGGAGGAACACCAGUGGCGAAGGCGGCUCACUGGUCCGUUACUGACGCUGAGGUGCGAAAGCGUGGGGAGCAAACAGG